UGAACGAGACGGUUAGGGCGGCUUGCAUUCUUUGGAGCAACCGGCAACGCUGACACAGGGAUGUGUCAGCGAGGCACAAUUGGAGCAUGGAUGCGACUUUGCGCCGGUUGCCGGAACAGCCAUUUUUUUAAAAGAAUGCCUAGCCGCCCUUACUGGUGAGUGUC
This is a regulatory RNA element of Roseburia sp. CAG:45, 164 nucleotides long. NCBI's taxonomy places the organism in Bacteria, Bacillati, Bacillota, Clostridia, Lachnospirales, Lachnospiraceae. The record is from Rfam.